GAUAUAAGCUUAACAUUCUAUGAAGAAGUAUAUUAUUUUCUACAAAAUUAAAACCAAAAUUCUUUUUCGUUUUCUUGUUGUGGGCCCGUUAUCAAUCUCACAAGACAUUAGAAACAAAACCUCAUCUUGCGGGACCCUCGUCGAAAUCCAAAGAAUUUGAAACAGGAACAAUCUGAAAUUUGCGUUAAUCCUUCAUCGAACCCAGCUUCUUCUUCCCUCAUCAUAUUCAUCUUUUUCUUCUCUCAUCGAACUUAGUUUUUUAUUCCCUAGAACUCAUAAACCUUCUUAUUUCUCCUUGAGCUAAUCUCAACAACCCUUAUCGGCAAUUUCAGCCUCCACUGACAAAACUCAAAAACCCUAAAACUAAAAUCCAUUGAAGCAAGAACUCAGAGAUACUAAAAGUCGAUUUAAACUCUAAAAUCAGUUCAGAAGUUAGGAAUCCAUUGAUUUUUUUCCCACAAUUAAUUGAAACCUUAUAAAUAUCUUCUUUCAUUAACAAUACUCCAGGAUUUUGGAUUUUUCCGACAGGUUCAUCAAUUAUUAAGUGCUCAAUGGAGUGUGAACCCAAGGAUUUGCCUGGGCAUCACUGAGUUAUAAGGAUUAGCAGACUGGUUUCAUAAGAGAUUUUGUUUGAUUUGGGGUCUGUUUAGCUGCAGAAAUCCCAGGUGUAUUCAUAUAGUGGUGGUGUAAUCCCUGCAGGUUCGGGUGGUGUUUUGUGAGAUUCGUUGGCGGUAGUGGUGUGCUGGAAGUUUUAUCAGUCUAGGUGAAUUGUCUCCUUCAAGAACUUCCAAUCUCGGUCCGCUGAAGGGUAAAUUUUAUUCUUUGAGUAGGGAAUCUUUGUUCUCGCUGUUGUCACGUCGGUUUAGCGGUCUAAGUGGAACUGCGAGUUUUUCAUUUUGACAGUGCAGUGGAUUUUUGGUUCAGGAUUUAUGUCAGUUUCUUAAGUUGGCUGGUUUCUUGUCCUUGGUGGUUUUGUGUUAUCUAUUUUAGGUGUAAGUUUUCAUAGCUCUUAAAUUGUUGCAGUAUUGGGUUGGUUCUGUAUUGAGGUGUAAUAUGCCUAGAGUUGCUGUUCUGAGCAGUGGGUAUUUUGCAUUUCAGGAUGUAUGCAUGUCAGCUAGCUUUAUUUCUCAUCUUGUUUGGAUUUAAGGUGAAAUAUCCUAGAAGAACUGCUUGAUAUCCCAGUAUAAGUGUAGAAAUACAACUGCCUGAUGCGGUGGGAGAGACAGGUCAAUUUAGUUUGGUCCAACAAGAUAAGAGUUAGGUCGACGUGAUGACAGCUCGUCAUUCUGGUGAGAAUAAUCCUCGAUGGAGAUGUUACUCAUAACGGUUAUCGUUUACUCCGCGACGGUUUUGAUUUCUGACAUGUUCAAUUACCGAUCAUUCUCAACUUGCAUGUAAGUUGUGUUUGAAUCAUUUCGUUGAUAAUCCCAUGGUUAAAACAUUUGGUAGCUGGUAUCGAAGAGGAAUUAAAGAUAGAUUCUGUCUGGAACAAUCAUCUCCUCUUUCAACAAUAAGGUAGUAGAACCCUUCAAGUUAUUAGAAAGUUUAGGGACAACAAGCUCACAGUUCAAUAGUUCUGGAUCCAAUGGGAUAACAGAACUGCAAUGAAGGCAUCUUGGGAAGCAAACCCCAAAGCCAAGAGCUGUUUAUACCAUAUGAUAAUUGAGCUUCUGAAAAUUAUUUGAUAAUAAUGUGAAAGUACAAGUUUCAAUCUUGAUAUAUGGGCUAAGCCAAAGAAAUACUAAUCAGGAAAAGGAAAUGCAAUAAUAUGUUACUAGUUACAUUAUUAUUUUCUAUCCUUAGAGAUAUCUACAAAUUUACAACAAUACAUGUACUUAUUUUUCAUUAUGAUAUAGUCUGGUAACUUAUUUGUCAUAAUUAUUUUCUAAUUGACAUGGUUUGGCAUAAGCUGACAAGAGGGAAAAUUUGGUAGAGCCCUUUUCUGCUUUAUGUUGUAUUGAUAAGUUAUUUUGGAUUAUGGAUAGGAUUGUUGAACUCAUUAUUAUGUUAUUUUUGUAUAUUUUUUGUUGUUGCAAGUAACAUUUUAAUUAUAACUAUUGGAUGCUAGGUGGGAGUCUCAAGGGUAUUUUAAGCCAAACUUCGACCGGGGAAGUGAUCUUUCAGUGAUAUUAAUGCCACCUCCUAAUGUUACCGGUUCUCUGCACAUGGAGCAUGCAAUGUUUGUAGUACUUUGCACUGCUCAACAAUAUUUCAAGUUAGGCUGAAAAAUCAUUCAUAUGGUAACUAUUCACUAGUAUUUAUUUAAUCUCUUUAUAUAUGGUUUGUUUUAGAUGGAAGUACAAAGUUAGUUGUAAUAUUGUAUUCAUCAACUAAUGAUCUUAAAUAUUUUGACUUUGAUAUUCAUAUGAUAUAACUUUCUCACACAUAAAAGGUGAUACAUUUAUAUUUAUUAUUUAAUAGAACUUGUGUAAUCAUUUUAAUCAUUAUCAACUUCAAAUCAUCAUGAAGUUAUAGUUAUAUUUGAGGCUAACGUUCCUUCUGUGGUUAAUGAAUGCAAUAUACUAGUAUAUUAUCAUCAGUAUUAUGUUCCUAGCCAAAUAGUUCUUAAAACUUGUGCAUUGAUAUAGAAUUUGUGUAUUACCUGAAUUAGAAUACAAAAUUAUAUACAAUUUUGAAUCCAAUUUAUGAUUUGCAAUUCGUAUAAUAUGUACAUUUGUACACUCUGUUUGCUUAGUGGGGAUAUUAAUCCUGUUAAAUAAUGAGUAAAAAAAACUCUCAAAAGGGCUUUGUUAGCAUUUUUAUUUAAAGUGCUAUUAAAUACAAGACAUAUGAUAGCGCUUUUACGUAAAGAGAUAUUAAAUCAAUGGCCUAUGAUAGCCUUUUUUUGGAAAAGUGCAAUUAAAUACUUU
Long non-coding RNA from Vicia villosa (hairy vetch), 2870 nucleotides. RefSeq lists it as uncharacterized. NCBI's taxonomy places the organism in Eukaryota, Viridiplantae, Streptophyta, Magnoliopsida, Fabales, Fabaceae. The record is from RefSeq and is a predicted model, not a curated record. The transcript has 3 exons.